RNAcentral lists this unclassified non-coding RNA (363 nucleotides) under uncultured bacterium. RNAcentral's name for it is "contains 16S-23S intergenic spacer region". The record is from RNAcentral.
UCCCCGUUGCCGGGGCAGUCUCAUUAGAAAAAUACAACUAAUGACAAGGGUUGCGCUCGUUGAUGGACUUAACCAAACAUCUCACGACACGAGCUGACGACGGCCAUGCAACAGCUGUCACCAAGUUCAAUAAAGCACUCCUACCUUUCGGUAAGAUUCUUGGGAUUUCAAACCCUGGUAAGGUUUAUCGUUUAUCAUCGAAUUAAAGAACACAAUCCACCGCUUGUGCGGGUCCCCGUCAAUUCCUUUAUGUUUUAGUCUUGCGACCGUACUCCACAGGCGGGAUACUUAACGCGUUAGCUUCGCUACUGGGGGGGUCGAUACCCCCAACAGCUAGUAUCCAUCGUUUACGGCGUGGACUAC